Podarcis raffonei (Aeolian wall lizard) is the source of this 629-nucleotide long non-coding RNA. RefSeq lists it as uncharacterized. NCBI's taxonomy places the organism in Eukaryota, Metazoa, Chordata, Lepidosauria, Squamata, Lacertidae. The transcript has 4 exons. The record is from RefSeq and is a predicted model, not a curated record.
UCCUGACUCUUGGACCCUUGGCUUCCUGACCCCUGGACUGCUGAUUCCUGCUUCCCGACCUCUACCCCGGUCCCAACGUACCAAGCCGGGACUCCGACUGCCCGUAACCCGGACCAUGACAUGUGCGCUCUCCAGCCUGAAGUUUGAAAUGGUACCAGUUUAUCACCUUGAUGUCGCUGGUGCUCACAGCACUUCUCAAAAUUCCAGAUGUGCCCACUGGGCAAAAGGUUGGAGACCCAUGCUAUAGAAGGCAGGUGCCUAGGAUGAAUUACACUGAGAGGCUGGCCAAGUGGACCAUGUGAAGAUCACAAAAUUCAAGAAUGGGAACUGGCUCAAAGUGUUCAGGAAACCACAAAUGUCUCCCUCCUAUUUGCAGGAUGUGACUGCCGGGCCAGAGAAAGCAGCCAUUCCUGCAGAAUUAAUCUCUGAGCUCUUGCUGUUCACACCACGUCUGCCUUGCUACCCUUUGAAGAUGAUAAUAAAACUCAGCAGCAGGCUUAAAACUCCUGCAAAUGUAAAUAUCUACUAGCAGAGUUCUCUGAAUCGGAUGCCUUCCCCAUUCACAUCAGAGGGAAACAAAUGCAGUACAUUUCGAUCCUAUCCUUAGCUCAGAAAGGUAAAAUAAAACC